UAAAAUUAAACCCCAAAACCUUACAAGCACAAAGGGGUUAUUUAUAUCCAGUAUAAGUCGUUUUUAACAAAUAGGUCCAGAGUUUAGUAAUUCAUCAUCCUGCCCAAUAAAAGGCCAGGCCCAGGGUUAAAAUUUUCCUUUGACCAAGCACCCUUGAGUUGGCUCAAACUUAAAUUUACCGCUUCAUUUUAAAGGGUUCCCACCGAGCGGAAGAAACAAGAGAGCGGGAGAGAAGUCAAGGAAAAGAGGAGAUUCCAUCACCGCCGUCCGAAGAGGAGGCACGACCAUGAGCAGGGUCAGAGUCAGAAUAAGGAGACCUCGUAGGCGAUUGUUGCGCUUGCUUUGAAAUCUAAACCCUAGAUUGCUGCUUUCUGCCUAUUUUGUUAUUUAUUUAUUUCAUUGUUUUUAUGUUCUUUUAGAUGAGCUUUUUUUUUUUUAAUCUUUAAUUCUUUAUUUUUAUGUUCAUGUUCUUGUAGCUGGAAUACUAUUGUAGCGAUGAAAACGUGCGUAAGUGUAUCACGUGUCCGAUUAAGAAGAACAAAAAAGGUUUUAGGGCUUGUAGCCUUGAUUGGUUUUGCUGCGUGGAAAUGAUUAGUGACCUCUCCAAUCACCAAGGAGAUGGAACUAUUAUGCUCAUACCAUAAAAAGGGUUAAAGUUGAUAAUGAUAUCUCACAUGGGUCGCAAUUUUUAACUUCACUGAUAGAAGAUUUAAGAAACUGGGCUUGGAUUUGGUUUUUAAGUAACUUAUGGAUGAAAACAGAUAGUAUAAAAAUAAGUUUUAGCUGAUCUAUUUGAGGAAUUAACAACUGCACAUAGGUAUGUUGUCGAAUCUGUGAAUUUUGUAGCUUGCAGUGAAAGGGCAGUUUAUCAUAAAAUUCUUGUACAAGUGAGAAGCGACAUGGUAAGAGCUUGUUAACUAGCUGUAUCCUAAUUUCUGUUUGUUUCAUUUACCUUGACAGUAUUUGUUUGUUAAAAAAAGAAAAAGUAGAAAGGGGCAGUGUCUUCACCGUGCCUUGUAGUUUCCUCUCAUUUUCAAUAUUAUAUCAGAACUUUUGACAUUUCCAUUGAAGAAAGUAGAACUGAUGAGGAUGGUAUUUCAUGCGAGUGGAAUAAAUUGCAUCGCAUAGCAGCCAACCAGUAAAUUAGUUAGGUUGUAACUUCAAAUCUAUCACAAGCGUUCACCUAUGGAACCCUUUUCCUUAUUCUGCGACACAUGCAGAAGGGAUUGUCGAUAUUGUGCUGUUUUUCAUCAAAAAGCUGUAAAGUUUUUAAGCUUGCAACCUCUGCUGUUUUUGUCUUUGAAUAAAUUUAUUUAUUAAUCUAAAAUUAUAGGCUAAACUGUACAGGAAGUUUAUUUAUGCCUUUUUUUUUAACAGAGAAGAUCCUAUCUGGAACUUUCUUUUUUUUGUAAGCAAUAGAUAAAGAGAGAUUAUCUUGAAUAGAGAUGAAGGUGAUGAAGUACAGCAGGUACUUAUGACCGGUCUCAGCUUUGAUGUUUUCUUGGUGCACCCAAUUUCUGAUGUGCCGAACAUCUGAGGAGUUGUUUGACUGAAUGAAUAGGCAAUCUACUACUUUCUGAUUCAUUCUCUAUUCUUAUAACUCCAACUUAACAUCAACAAAUGAUUGUCGAAAUUCAUCAACUAGACCUAGUAUUUUGUGCUUAUACUUUCUUUUGUUCUCUUUCGAAUGGAGAUUAUAAGCACCUAUGUCAAAACUUCUUUAGUUAGAACUUUACCUUUCUAUAAUCAAUAGUAUUGAAAGAAACGUUCUCCUUUUCUUUCUUGGUGAAUUAGAACGGCAUAGCUUUUACAGCUGAGCAUGACAUUCAUCAUAGCUUAUAAUGUUUGAUCUUUAGUUCUUUGAAUACUUGAAAGCUGCAGGCGGUGCUGUUUUUGGCUGUCAGUAACAGCAUCUGCCUUGAUAUUCGAAUUUCUGAAACUUGUAGCUAUAGUUUAUUGUCGUCUGAAUAUAUUUAUAUGAUUUAAAAUCAUUUCCCUUUUGCUUUC
Long non-coding RNA from Gossypium raimondii (Peruvian cotton), 2007 nucleotides. RefSeq lists it as uncharacterized. Lineage: Eukaryota; Viridiplantae; Streptophyta; Magnoliopsida; Malvales; Malvaceae. The record is from RefSeq and is a predicted model, not a curated record. The transcript has 2 exons.